This 1668-nucleotide long non-coding RNA is filed under the name Sus scrofa (pig). Its description in RNAcentral is "lncRNA (ENSSSCG00005022527.1)". The record is from RNAcentral. Lineage: Eukaryota; Metazoa; Chordata; Mammalia; Artiodactyla; Suidae.
UUUUUUUUUUUUUUAGGGUCGCACUUGCGGCAUCGGAGGUUCCCAGGCUAGAGGUCCAAUAGGAGCUACAGCUGCCAGCCUACACCACAGCCACAGCAACUCCGGAUCCGAGCCAUGUCUGUGACCUACACCACAGCUCAAGGCAACGCUGGAUCCUUAACCCACUAAGCGAGGCCAGGGAUAGAACUCGCAACCUCAUGGUUCCUAGUCGGAUUCGGUUCCACUGCGCCCUGACGGGAACGCCUCAAAAAAAAAAAAAUUUUAAAAAGGCAAAGGAUCCAAUUACAAAAUGGGCAAAAGAUGGAGUUCCUCAGUGGCCUAGCAUGUAAGGACUCAGCAUUGUCACUGCUGUGGUUUGGGUUCAAUCCCCGGCCCAGAGGUGGCUAAAACACACACACACACACACACACACACGAUCAGAACAGACAUUUGACUGAAGAAGGUAUAGGGACUGCAAAUAAACACAUGAAAAGACACUCAAUAUCACUAGCCAUCAAGAAAAUGCUCUCAAAAUAAUCAUCAGGAUACUCCGAUCUUUCUCCAUCUUUCCAAGAUCUAGUCCAGGGCUAACUUGCAAAGGUAGAACAGUAUUAUGUAUCAUCACACAGCGAAGGUCUUCCACAAAAAACUGUGGUUUGACUGUUUCACCUCCUGCCACAGUGCCAACAAGGCUUCAACCUAGGCCGUUCAUCCUAACACUGCUCAGAGCACUAUACCUGGAAGUGGGUCUCUGGCCCUCGCUUCAAAGUACAGGACUGCAAAACAAGGCACAAGAAACCCCAAGACAUUGUUCAUUCCUUGGGCCUGAGUCACCGCUCCCCUGUUCUGGGCAAAGGGCAGAGAUAGCAGGUUCUUAUCUACGCAGUCUUUUCUACUGUCUCAGUACACAAUCUGCACUGAGGUCAGGGAGCUUUGCCAAAGGGGAAGGGUGCACGGAUUAGUAUGUUCCUCCAAGAGAUAUCCUUCAUUGCAACAUGAGCUAUCAAACACCUGGAAGGAGGAGUAUGGUGGGGGUACUGAGUACGGUAGGGUACUGCAGGGUAGUCUACUCAAGGGUACCACCCUAAAGAGCUCACAGGGAGGUCUGGUACAAACAUGAGUAAGGAGGGAUACCGAGUACAGCAGUGUGUUGCAGAACAAUCCACUCAUCCAGGGCAUCAACCUGAGGAGCACAGAGAAAGAAGGUGUGGUGUGGUGCUCAACAGUGCGGUACUUACUGAGUACCGUGGAGGUGACGAAUACAGUGGGUGCUGCGGGUAAUCACUCAAGGGUCCACCCCAAGAGUGAGCAGAGAGGAUGGGUACGGUGGAGUAUUGAAUACUGCGGAUACUGCAGGGUGAUCCACUUAAGACCUCACCCCAGGAGUGCAGGGAGGAGAGUAAGAAGGGGUGCUGAGUAUUGUAGGCUACUGAGUACGGCGUCACCCCAAAGAAUACAGGGAGGCUUACAGGGGAGAUGGGGGGCCUGCGGGGUAAUCCGUCCCUCAAGGGUUCACCCCAGGAGCGUAAGGACAGUCCGAUCAGAAGCCGCCCCGUGCCGUCCACGCUGUGGGAAAGGCGUACUGCCCACAAUUCGCAGCCGCUUCUUCAAGGGCGCGCCACCCUUCCAUCCGUCCAGGCGGGCAGAGGACACUGCCGGGUGACUCCCACGUGACGCCUCCUCGACCUU